Molecule: non-coding RNA, 354 nt
Organism: Pseudoxanthomonas dokdonensis
Lineage: Bacteria; Pseudomonadati; Pseudomonadota; Gammaproteobacteria; Lysobacterales; Lysobacteraceae
Rfam family: transfer-messenger RNA
About the family: Bacterial tmRNA, also known as 10Sa RNA or SsrA, is named for its dual tRNA and mRNA-like properties. Its role is to liberate the mRNA from a stalled ribosome.
Source: Rfam
GGGGGUGCACUGGCUUCGACGGGGGUUGCGAAAUUGCUUGGCGCAUGCCGAGGGGGCGACUUUCCUCGUUAAUCCAGUAGCAAACUUUUAGUUGCCAACGACGACAACUACGCUCUCGCCGCUUAAGGCGUAAGCCCCGAACCCACUUGUGCCCGUGCUCGUGGAUGUAGGGUCAUUAUCACGGAACCGGCUGUGACGGCUGCCUGUCAGUCAUGGCUUAACCGAAACAGGCUGGUUUCCGGGUGCGCUUUGCGUGCCGUGCUGCCCGGCGACGAGAUCUAACGGAACGCUAAGCAUGUAGUGCCGGGGAUGGAGUACCUUCGGACGGCGGUUCGAUUCCGCCCACCUCCACCA